Molecule: ribosomal RNA, 468 nt
Filed under: uncultured bacterium
Lineage: Bacteria
Description: partial 16S ribosomal RNA
Rfam family: Bacterial small subunit ribosomal RNA
Source: RNAcentral
GACGAACGCUGGCGGCGUGCUUAACACAUGCAAGUCGAACGGAAAGGCCCUGCUUUUGUGGGGUGCUCGAGUGGCGAACGGGUGAGUAACACGUGAGUAACCUGCCCUUGACUUUGGGAUAACUUCAGGAAACUGGGGCUAAUACCGGAUAGGAGCUCCUGCUGCAUGGUGGGGGUUGGAAAGUUUCGGCGGUUGGGGAUGGACUCGCGGCUUAUCAGCUUGUUGGUGGGGUAGUGGCUUACCAAGGCUUUGACGGGUAGCCGGCCUGAGAGGGUGACCGGCCACCUUGGGACUGAGGUACGGCCCAGACUCCUACGGGAGGCAGCAGUGGGGAAUCUUGCACAAUGGGCCGAAGCCUGAUGCAGCAACGCCGCGUGCGGGAUGACGGCCUUCGGGUUGUAAACCGCUUUCGCCUGUGACGACGCGUGAGUGACGGUAAUGGGUAAAGAAGCACCGGCUAACUACGUG